GCGCCAGUUGUAUAACGGUAUUAUACCUGCCUUCCAAGCAGGCGACCCGGGUUCGACUCCCGGCUGGCGCA
Non-coding RNA from Octopus sinensis (East Asian common octopus), 71 nucleotides. NCBI's taxonomy places the organism in Eukaryota, Metazoa, Mollusca, Cephalopoda, Octopoda, Octopodidae. The record is from the annotation of a RefSeq genome assembly.